AAGCCUCCCGCCAAACAGACGAGAGAGGAAGAGGAGGGGAGGGGCCAGAGAGAGAAGCGGCUUUCGGGAAGGAAAGUGUGGUCUAGGAGGUGGAAUAGUCUCCAAACUUUGACCUGAGAAUGUCCCUCUAUUUGGAUUUGGAUUACAAAAGUUCAACAAUUUUUGGAAAAAUCCUACCUAGGUAAUGUGUCGUUCUCAGUGCAUCAUGUCAGGCAGCUUAUGAUGCCAAUUUGUCCCAUGGUGCUGAUCCUUUUAGAGGCAGCCAUGGAAGAGGAAAAGAGGCCAGAAGAGAAAAGGAUAUUGGUUUGCUGGAACAUGUAGGACAAGAAGUUCCCAGAAGAAUUUGUGAGCAACUUCCCAACAGUAAGGCCCUGGCUAGACCUCAGGAUGGUCCCUG
RNAcentral lists this non-coding RNA (397 nucleotides) under Pongo abelii (Sumatran orangutan). The record is from RNAcentral. Lineage: Eukaryota; Metazoa; Chordata; Mammalia; Primates; Hominidae.